Long non-coding RNA from Lagopus muta (rock ptarmigan), 2910 nucleotides. RefSeq lists it as uncharacterized. The record is from RefSeq and is a predicted model, not a curated record. NCBI's taxonomy places the organism in Eukaryota, Metazoa, Chordata, Aves, Galliformes, Phasianidae. The transcript has 8 exons.
CGGAGAUCUGCUCUGCUGCAGUUUUGUAAGUGAGCCUAGGAUAGGGGCUGGUGCUCCACUGCCUUUCACUUUGAUACAUCUUCAACCAAGUACAGAAGUACAGAAAAGAGAGAGCAGCAAAUCUGAGCAUGUUGUGGCUGUGCUGAAGGAUUCUGCACUGCUGGGGGACAGCUGACGUCCGUGAAGCUGCCUCUGGGUUGGCCUUCAGCUUGCUCGUGCAUCCAGACACAGUGAACUGGAGCUUUGGCAUAGUGAAUUAAGAAGAAAGGAGGUUUCGAGAGAGGACAACACGCUUGUUUUUUCUGCUGCCUGCAGAACCAGCACUUGAUCUCAUGAGUUAGACGACUUUUGAAAGGUGCCUGGAAGUCCCUUGCAGAAGUUGCUGCUCCCAGGAAUGUGCUGACAUAAUGGCUCCUACAGAAGCGUGAAGCUGAAUCAGGUCCUUGCCCUGCUCUGUGCAGAAUUAUGUCCCAGUGAGGAGGGAUCAGAAAGAGGCUUCCUGAAAUACUGCCCUUGCACUAGAGUAAACAAUGCAGCAAAGCAGAGAAUUUCAGGGACCGGAGAUCAAUUUGCUGUGCGGACACUGCUGUCAAAACAGCUCUUUAAUCGCUUUGCCAGCAGUCAGGCUGGUUUCUCAUCGUUGUGUAUGAAGAUCUGAUGUUCACAGUCUGCUGCAGUCCCCAAAGAGGGUAAUUGCAUCCAGCUGAGGGUUCCAGAACUACACGGCGUAAAAGGAGCAGAUAUCCACAGCCCUUGGGCACUGAACAGUGCCACUCUCUCCCAAGUGGGAGAGUAGCCAGCUGUGACAUCCCCUGAGUGGAGCAGACACAUCAGCCAGAGGCCUGUGAGAACUUGGAACAUUAGGAGGGGUUGGAAACCAACAAGGCCUGGACUCCCAUGACUAUGUCCAACCACAGCUUGAGGGUAUUGUGCUAAAAGGCUGGCUGUACGUAACACCAGGUAUAGCAGCUGCUUGGAAAUGAUAGAUAUUUAAAUGCUGCUUUCUCCCAUCAGCCCUAUCGAGUCAGCAGGGCAGGGAGAGCUUGUCCUUCACAGCAUCCUUCCCUGCCCUCCAGGUCCUGCCAGCCCUGGUACCCCACAGCAUGCAUGGGUGAUCUCUGAAAGCCUCUGCUGGGCUAAACACCACCUGAUUCAGAGGGACAGCAGGAAGCCAGUGCUGGUGCUCAGUUCCCAGUCUGUGCAUGAGGUAGAAGUAAAACCAGCUGACUUCCUAUCAUGCUUGAGUGCAUCCACACUGGAGGUACCAAGUAAACGCAGGGACUGGUCCUUGGAUUUUGCUUUUUGGGUGGAUCUGCCUUUUAGAAUGGGGACAGAUGAAGAGCUGGAUCCUGUGACACAUCAAGCACGUGUCAGACUUACAUCUGCUGACUAGGCUGCUUUUCUUGGGGAUGGGUAAGGAAAGAAAGUGCUCUGUAAGUACAGGAGGAAGAGAAGGAAGUGAAUGUAAUCACUGGUUGCAUAUGCAAGGGUGGGUUGGUUGGUUUGUGUGGGUUUUUUUUGCCUUUCUUAUGCAUCCUCCUGAAUAAAGGUACUUUCUGGAGGCUCAAAUUUAGUUGUUAGGCAAUAUUCAGUGAAGAAUGAAACAUCUCCAUUUCAGGUUUUAAUUCCAAGGUGUGGUACCAAAGUUCUCAGACAGUCUUCCUUUGACACGAGUGGAAAGUUUUGCUGAAGAAGACUUCUGCUUUCAGUCAUGCUAUUGAAGGGCCUGGAUUACAGCUACUUUGUUUAAGAAUGCAUCACAGCAGGGAAGAAGUCCUCACCCCAAGGGCAGGAGAAGACCUGCACACAGAGCAGUGCAGCACAAGGAAAGAGAGAUUAUUUUUCUCUCAAGAAAGAUGUGUGAUGAAGGCCAGAGAAAAGCCCACUGGGAGCAUCUGCCAUUGGAGAUGCAAAUGUAAGAGCCAGUCUAUUUGAAGUUUGGCAACACUAAAGUAGGGAUCUGCCUCUUCCAGUGUUCCUGUGGACACAAGUGCAAGCAGAUAUUUGGAGGUUGUGUAUGAGCACUGACUGGAUCCUGCAUUUUCACUUUGGUGCUGAAGCUGUUGCUAUGAGUUCUUAGGCUGCCUGAGCACAACCUCAGAAGUGCUAUUGGUCUGAAAGCUUCUAUGACUGGAGUAUUUUACCUUCCUCAUUUUCACCGACGCAACAGAGAUCCAGAAGUACAGUGAGACUUCAGAGGGCACUGCGUUGUCUGUAGUACUUUGAAGAAACAAUAUGCUUUUUGAAACUGGUCUAGAGUCACUGCAGUACCUGGGCUGCUUUUGGUACCAGCAUGGAAGCAGGAAACUGUUCAACUCAGCACCAGUGACCGGUCUAAAACAGUCAUGCAGCCACUUCAAGCAUUUUGAUUUCCUGCAGAAUUGAAGAGUCAGAGAACAGGGAGACAGCUGUGCUGUCAUGGAGCAUAGGUGGAGAGCCCAGAUCUGAACUCCUCAGCCACAGAGGCAAACUCCUCUCAUUGGAAGGGGCUUGGUCCUGGAAAUUAACUACCACUAGAGAUCCAUUUGGACCUCCUUAGCAAAGAACAGCACCAAAGUGCUGCUACAUCUAUGAACACUUGAAGUAGGUAGAUAGAUUCAGGACUGCAUUGAAAAAAGAACCAACAGAUGGUUGGACUGGAUGAUCCUGUAAGUCUUUUCUAACCUUGGUGAUUUUAUGGUUUUUAUGAGAACAAGUGAUGUGAUGUGAUCACUGCUCCAGGGAGACCUUGCAACAUGUUUCCAGUAUCUAAAGAGACUAUGUGAAAGUAAUAGGACCACAAGUAACAGCUUCAAACUAAAAGAAGGUAGGUUCAGAUUGGAUGUUAGGAGGAAACUCUUCACUAAAGGACAGUGAGGACCCGGCACUGCUGCCCAGAGAGCCGUGGGUGCCCCAUCCCUGGAGGUCAUA